Molecule: ribosomal RNA, 765 nt
Filed under: uncultured Streptococcus sp.
Lineage: Bacteria; Bacillati; Bacillota; Bacilli; Lactobacillales; Streptococcaceae
Description: bacterial SSU rRNA
Rfam family: Bacterial small subunit ribosomal RNA
Source: RNAcentral
GACGAACGCUGGCGGCGUGCCUAAUACAUGCAAGUAGAACGCUGAAGCUUGGUGCUUGCACCGAGCGGAUGAGUUGCGAACGGGUGAGUAACGCGUAGGUAACCUGCCUGGUAGCGGGGGAUAACUAUUGGAAACGAUAGCUAAUACCGCAUAACAGUAGAUGUUGCAUGACAUUUGCUUAAAAGGUGCAAUUGCAUCACUACCAGAUGGACCUGCGUUGUAUUAGCUAGUUGGUGGGGUAACGGCUCACCAAGGCGACGAUACAUAGCCGACCUGAGAGGGUGAUCGGCCACACUGGGACUGAGACACGGCCCAGACUCCUACGGGAGGCAGCAGUAGGGAAUCUUCGGCAAUGGACGGAAGUCUGACCGAGCAACGCCGCGUGAGUGAAGAAGGUUUUCGGAUCGUAAAGCUCUGUUGUAAGAGAAGAACGAGUGUGAGAGUGGAAAGUUCACACUGUGACGGUAUCUUACCAGAAAGGGACGGCUAACUACGUGCCAGCAGCCGCGGUAAUACGUAGGUCCCGAGCGUUGUCCGGAUUUAUUGGGCGUAAAGCGAGCGCAGGCGGUUAGAUAAGUCUGAAGUUAAAGGCUGUGGCUUAACCAUAGUACGCUUUGGAAACUGUUUAACUUGAGUGCAAGAGGGGAGAGUGGAAUUCCACGUGUAGCGGUGAAAUGCGUAGAUAUAUGGAGGAACACCGGUGGCGAAAGCGGCUCUCUGGCUUGUAACUGACGCUGAGGCCCGAAAGCGUGGGGAGCAAACAGG